GGAUAACCAACGAAAGUUUGGCUAAUACCGCGUAAGCUCCAAGGAGGAAAGUAGGGGACCUAAAUAAGGCCUUACGCUAUUUGAUCGGCCGAUGUCGGAUUAGCUAGUUGGUGGGGUAAUGGCUCACCAAGGCAAUGAUCCGUAGCGGGUCUGAGAGGACGAUCCGCCACACUGGGACUGAGACACGGCCCAG
RNAcentral lists this ribosomal RNA (193 nucleotides) under uncultured Neisseriales bacterium. Its description in RNAcentral is "partial 16S ribosomal RNA". It matches the Rfam family "Bacterial small subunit ribosomal RNA", at positions 141 to 334 of the family's 1533-position model. Lineage: Bacteria; Pseudomonadati; Pseudomonadota; Betaproteobacteria; Neisseriales. The record is from RNAcentral.